AUUGAACGCUGGCGGCAGGCCUAACACAUGCAAGUCGAGCGAGCGGCGGACGGGUGAGUAAUGUCUGGGAAACUGCCUGAUGGAGGGGGAUAACUACUGGAAACGGUAGCUAAUACCGCAUACCAUCGGAUUUGCCCAGAUGGGAUGAGCUAGUAGGUGGGGUAAAGGCUCACCUAGGCGACGAUCCCUAGCUGGGCUGAGAGGAUGACCCGCCACACUGGAACGGAGACACGGUCCAGACUCCUACGGGAGGCAGCAGGGGGGAAUAUUGCACAAUGGGCGCAAGCCUGAUGCAGCCAUGCCGGGUGUAUGAAGAAGGCCUUCGGGUUGUAAAGUACUUUCAGCGGGGAUGCGUUACCCGCAGAAGAAGCACCGGCUAACUCCGUGCCAGCAGCCGCGGUAAUUC
RNAcentral lists this ribosomal RNA (406 nucleotides) under uncultured bacterium. RNAcentral's name for it is "partial 16S ribosomal RNA". It matches the Rfam family "Bacterial small subunit ribosomal RNA", at positions 30 to 526 of the family's 1533-position model. The record is from RNAcentral.